GUUGAUCCUGCCGGACCCGACUGCUAUUUGGGUGAGAAUAAGCCAUGCGAGUUGAAUGGGAUACCUAAAGUUCCCAUAGCAAACUGCUCAGUAACACAUGAUCAACUUACCCUAUAGAGAAAAAUAACCUCGGGAAACUGAGGAUAAUGUUUCACAAUUGAAUUGGCUUGGAAAAGUUUUUCAAUGAAAAGGAUAAAAAAAAUGGUUUUUAUCUGCUAUAGGAUAGGAUCGUGUUCGAUUAUGGUUGUUGGUGAGAUAAUGGCUCACCAAGCCGAUAAUCGAUAGGGGCCGUGAGAGCGGGAGCCCCGAGAUGGGUACUGAGACAACGACCCAGGCCUUACGAGGCGCAGCAGGCGCGGAACCUCCGCAAUACACGAAAGUGUGACGGGGUUACCCAAAGUGUUCAAUAGAACUGUGGUAGGUGAGUAAUGUCCCCUACUAGAAAGGAGAGGGCAAGGCUGGUGCCAGCCGCCGCGGUAAAACCAGCUCUUCAAGUGGUCGGGAUAAUUAUUGGGCUUAAAGUGUCCGUAGCCGGUUUAGUAAGUUCCUGGUAAAAUCGGGUAGCUUAACUAUCUGCAUGCUAGGAAUACUGCUAUACUAGAGGGCGGGAGAGGUCUGAGGUACUACAGGGGUAGGGGUGAAAUCUUAUAAUCCUUGUAGGACCACCAGUGGCGAAGGCGUCAGACUGGAACGCGCCUGACGGUGAGGGACGAAAGCCAGGGGAGCGAACCGGAUUAGAUACCCGGGUAGUCCUGGCCGUAAACGAUGCAUACUAGGUGAUGGUACGGCCAUGAGCCGUAUCAGUGCCGUAGGGAAACCGUUAAGUGUGCCGCCUGGGAAGUACGGUCGCAAGGCUAAAACUUAAAGGAAUUGGCGGGGGAGCACCACAAGGGGUGAAGCCUGCGGUUCAAUUGGAUUCAACGCCGGGAAUCACUAGUGCGGCCGCCUGC
Molecule: ribosomal RNA, 950 nt
Filed under: uncultured archaeon
Lineage: Archaea
Description: bacterial SSU rRNA
Rfam family: Archaeal small subunit ribosomal RNA
Source: RNAcentral